Molecule: ribosomal RNA, 587 nt
Filed under: uncultured bacterium
Lineage: Bacteria
Description: bacterial SSU rRNA
Rfam family: Bacterial small subunit ribosomal RNA
Source: RNAcentral
CCUACGGGAGGCAGCAGUAGGGAAUCUUCCGCAAUGGACGAAAGUCUGACGGAGCAACGCCGCGUGAACGAUGAAGGCCUUCGGGUCGUAAAGUUCUGUUGUUAGGGAAGAACAAGUGCUAGUUGAAUAAGCUGGCACCUUGACGGUACCUAACCAGAAAGCCACGGCUAACUACGUGCCAGCAGCCGCGGUAAUACGUAGGUGGCAAGCGUUGUCCGGAAUUAUUGGGCGUAAAGCGCGCGCAGGCGGUUUCUUAAGUCUGAUGUGAAAGCCCCCGGCUCAACCGGGGAGGGUCAUUGGAAACUGGGAAACUUGAGUGCAGAAGAGGAAAGUGGAAUUCCAAGUGUAGCGGUGAAAUGCGUAGAGAUUUGGAGGAACACCAGUGGCGAAGGCGACUUUCUGGUCUGUAACUGACGCUGAGGCGCGGAAGCGUGGGGAGCAAACAGGAUUAGAUACCCUGGUAGUCCACGCUGUAAACGAUGAGUGCUAAGUGUUAGAGGGUUUCCGCCCUUUAGUGCUGAAGUUAACGCAUUAAGCACUCCGCCUGGGGAUACGGUCGCAAGACUGAAACUCAAAUGAAUUGACGG